Molecule: unclassified non-coding RNA, 232 nt
Organism: Cricetulus griseus (Chinese hamster)
Lineage: Eukaryota; Metazoa; Chordata; Mammalia; Rodentia; Cricetidae
Gene: 7SK
Rfam family: 7SK RNA
About the family: 7SK was discovered as an abundant small nuclear RNA in the mid-70s but a possible function has only recently been suggested. Two independent studies have found that 7SK RNA binds the CDK9/cyclin T complex (known as elongation factor P-TEFb).
Source: Ensembl
AAAUAUGAGGGCGAUAUGGCUAGACAGUGUCUCCUUCCUCCUUUACCCUUCCAUGCAUGUCCCUCCUGAAGCUGCCCACUCACUAUUUUGAAGACAAAGGGAGGACUUGACAAGUACCUGUGCUCUGCUAUUAGAGCCUCCAAACAAGCUCUCAAGAAGAAAGCUAGAUAAGGGCUGGUUUGGAGGCUAGUUCAGUCUAUUGUUCAUUGUUCUAAAUAAUAGGAACAAUUAA